Molecule: ribosomal RNA, 253 nt
Filed under: uncultured bacterium
Lineage: Bacteria
Description: partial 16S ribosomal RNA
Rfam family: Bacterial small subunit ribosomal RNA
Source: RNAcentral
GACGUAGGGCGCGAGCGUUGUCCGGAUUUAUUGGGCGUAAAGAGCGUGUAGGCGGCCAGACAGGUCCGUUGUGAAAACUCGAGGCUCAACCUCGAGACGUCGACGGAAACCGUCUGGCUAGAGUCCGGAAGAGGAGUGUGGAAUUCCUGGUGUAGCGGUGAAAUGCGCAGAUAUCAGGAAGAACACCUAUGGCGAAGGCAGCACUCUGGGACGGUACUGACGCUGAGACGCGAAAGCGUGGGGAGCGAACAGG